This 1436-nucleotide ribosomal RNA is filed under the name uncultured bacterium. RNAcentral describes it as "bacterial SSU rRNA". It matches the Rfam family "Bacterial small subunit ribosomal RNA". The record is from RNAcentral.
AGAGUUUGCCCUUGGCUCAGGAUGAACGCCGGCGGUGUGCCUAAUACAUGCAAGUCGUACGCACUGGCCCAACUGACUGAUGGUGCUUGCACCUGAUUGACGUUGGAUCACCAGUGAGUGGCGGACGGGUGAGUAACACGUAGGUAACCUGCCCCGGAGCGGGGGAUAACAUUUGGAAACAGAUGCUAAUACCGCAUAACAACAAAAGCCACAUGGCUUUUGUUUGAAAGAUGGCUUUGGCUAUCACUCUGGGAUGGACCUGCGGUGCAUUAGCUAGUUGGUAAGGUAACGGCUUACCAAGGCGAUGAUGCAUAGCCGAGUUGAGAGACUGAUCGGCCACAAUGGAACUGAGACACGGUCCAUACUCCUUUUUUAGGCAGCAGUAGGGAAUCUUCCACAAUGGGCGCAAGCCUGAUGGAGCAACACCGCGUGAGUGAAGAAGGGUUUCGGCUCGUAAAGCUCUGUUGUUGGAGAAGAACGUGCGUGAGAGUUACUGUUCACGCAUUGACGGUAUCCCAACCAGAAAGACACGGCUAACUACUUGCCAGCAGCCGCGGUAAUACUUAGGUGGCAAGCGUUAUCCGGCUUUAUUGGGAGUAAAGCGAGCGCAGGCGGUUGCUUAGGUCUUGAUGUGAAAGCCUUCGGCUUAACCGAAGAAGUGCAUCGGAAACCGGGCGACUUGAGUGCAGAAGAGGACAGUGGAACUCCAUGUGUAGCGGUGGAAUGCGUAGAUAUAUGGAAGAACACCAGUGGCGAAGGCGGCUGUCUGGUCUGCAACUGACGCUGAGGCUCGAAAGCAUGGGUAGCGAACAGGAUUAGAUACCCUGGUAGUCCAUGCCGUAAACGAUGAGUGCUAGGUGUUGGAGGGUUUCCGCCCUUCAGUGCCGGAGCUAACGCAUUAAGCACUCCGCCUGGGGAGUACGACCGCAAGGUUGAAACUCAAAGGAAUUGACGGGGGCCCGCACAAGCGGUGGAGCAUGUGGUUUAAUUCGAAGCUACGCGAAGAACCUUACCAGGUCUUGACAUCUUGCGCUAACCUUAGAGAUAAGGCGUUCCCUUCGGGGACGCAAUGACAGGUGGUGCAUGGUCGUCGUCAGCUCGUGUCGUGAGAUGUUGGGUUAAGUCCCGCAACGAGCGCAACCCUUGUUACUAGUUGCCAGCAUUAAGUUGGGCACUCUAGUGAGACUGCCGGUGACAAACCGGAGGAAGGUGGGGACGACGUCAGAUCAUCAUGCCCCUUAUGACCUGGGCUACACACGUGCUACAAUGGACGGUACAACGAGUCGCAAGCUCGCGAGAGUAAGCUAAUCUCUUAAAGCCGUUCUCAGUUCGGACUGUAGGCUGCAACUCGCCUACACGAAGUCGGAAUCGCUAGUAAUCGCGGAUCAGCAUGCCGCGGUGAAUACGUUCCCGGGCCUUGCACACACCGCCCGUCA